Molecule: ribosomal RNA, 419 nt
Filed under: uncultured marine bacterium
Lineage: Bacteria
Description: bacterial SSU rRNA
Rfam family: Bacterial small subunit ribosomal RNA
Source: RNAcentral
AAUAUUGGACAAGGGCGCAAGCCUGAUCGAGCCAUUCCGGGGAGGACGGAGGGCUUUAGGGUUGUAAAACUUUUUUAGCAGGGAGGAUAAUGACGGUGCCUGCAGAAGAAGCUCCGGCUAAAUCUUGCCAGACGCCGCGGUAUACGGAUGGGGCUAGCGUUGUUUGGAAUCAUUGGGCGUAAAGCGCGCGUAGGCGGGCUGAUCAGUUGAGGGGGAAAUUGGGGGGUUAACAUCGGAAAUACGUUCAAUAUGCCAGUCUUGAGUUCAAGAGAGGGAGUGGAAAUCCCAGUGUUGAGGUGGAAUUCGUAAAUAAAGGGAGAACCACAGUUGGGAAGGCGACUCCCUUGGUCGAAUCUGAACGUUCAGUGAGGAAGGCGUGGGGAGCAACCGGAAUUGAAUACCUGGGAGGUCCACGCCUU